UGGGGAAUCUUGCACAAUGGGGGCAACCCUGAUGCAGCGACGCCGCGUGAGCGAUGAAGCCCUUCGGGGCGUAAAGCUCUUUCGACCGGAACGAUAAUGACGGUACCGGGAGAAGAAGCUGCGGCUAACUACGUGCCAGCAGCCGCGGUAAUACGUAGGCAGCAAGCGUUGUUCGGAGUUACUGGGCGUAAAGAGUGCGUAGGCGGUUUUCUAAGUUCGGUGUGAGAUCUCCCGGCUUAACUGGGAGGGUGCGCCGAAGACUGGGAAGCUGGAGUGUGGGAAAGGCAGGCGGAAUUCCUGGUGUAGCGGUGAAAUGCGUAGAUAUCAGGAGGAACACCGGCGGUGUAGACGGCUUGCUAGACCAUAACUGACGCUGAGGCACGAAAGCGUGGGUAGCAGACA
Molecule: ribosomal RNA, 402 nt
Filed under: uncultured bacterium
Lineage: Bacteria
Description: bacterial SSU rRNA
Rfam family: Bacterial small subunit ribosomal RNA
Source: RNAcentral